Molecule: ribosomal RNA, 477 nt
Filed under: Triticum aestivum (bread wheat)
Lineage: Eukaryota; Viridiplantae; Streptophyta; Magnoliopsida; Poales; Poaceae
Description: partial small subunit ribosomal RNA
Source: RNAcentral
AUGGUAACAAGAAUGUUUUCUCUGCUCUCACCCAAAGAUCCACAAUUUCAUCAACUCAAACAAGACUCGGAAAAAAAUGGGGAAAUCGGGGAAACUUUACAGUUAUGUCAACUCAGAUCCAGAAGGAUUAAAAUUCUUUGCAGUUUUCUUCGAGAGGUUGGAGUUGAUGGAAAUGUUCCUACGAAACGUAGUGCCGAUCCACAAUUUUGGUAUGAUUUUUUUAGGAAAUUGUGUAGGGAUUGCAGUUGUCAAAAAUCCUCCGAAGCAAAUGGGGCCAGCGCCCCUUGCUCUGCUUUAGUGGUUGUUUUCUUGAGAGCAUUUCCGCAUUUCUUCAUCGGUCUUUUUCUUGGGAUCGGAAUUCAGGAAUUGGUUCUUGUCAAAAAAGACGUGGAUCGAUUUGAUCUGUCAAAAAGAGAUGACGAAACAAUAAAUCACUGGUUGGAAUUGGUUCUGUCAAAAAGAUGUGGAUCGAUUUGA